Molecule: ribosomal RNA, 205 nt
Filed under: Streptococcus pneumoniae
Lineage: Bacteria; Bacillati; Bacillota; Bacilli; Lactobacillales; Streptococcaceae
Description: partial 16S ribosomal RNA
Rfam family: Bacterial small subunit ribosomal RNA
Source: RNAcentral
UUUUAAUGAGAGUUUGAUCCUGGCUCAGGACGAACGCUGGCGGCGUGCCUAAUACAUGCAAGUAGAACGCUGAAGGAGGAGCUUGCUUCUCUGGAUGAGUUGCGAACGGGUGAGUAACGCGUAGGUAACCUGCCUGGUAGCGGGGGAUAACUAUUGGAAACGAUAGCUAAUACCGCAUAAGAGUGGAUGUUGCAUGACAUUUGCU